This 1016-nucleotide ribosomal RNA is filed under the name Riptortus sp. WCW-2003. RNAcentral describes it as "partial 18S ribosomal RNA". It matches the Rfam family "Eukaryotic small subunit ribosomal RNA", at positions 415 to 1334 of the family's 1831-position model. Lineage: Eukaryota; Metazoa; Arthropoda; Insecta; Hemiptera; Alydidae. The record is from RNAcentral.
UCCAAGGAAGGCAGCAGGCACGCAAAUUACCCACUCCCGGCACGGGGAGGUAGUGACAAAAAAUAACGAUACGGGACUCAUCCGAGGCCCCGUAAUCGGAAUGAGAACACCCUAAAUCCUUUAACGAGGAUCUAUUGGAGGGCAAGUCCGGUGCCAGCAGCCGCGGUAAUUCCGGCUCCAAUAGCGUAUAUUAAAGUUGNNNNNNNNNCUAGUUGGUUCUGCGUGCCACGCUGUCGGUUCACCGCCUGCCGGUGCAACUGGCAUGCCGUGGCAUGUCCUGUCGGUGGCGGAUAGGCUUCGCGGCGUGCCCUAUGCGUACCAACGUGUAGGUCGUUGCGCCGUGUCGUCCUUGUACGCCGGCUCAAUCCUACCGCGGUGCUCUUCAUCGAGUGUCGAGGUAGGCCGACACUGUUUACUUUGAACAAAUUAGAGUGCUUAAAGCAGGCUCUUAAAUCAGCCUGAAUAGUGGUGCAUGGAAUAAUGGAACAGGACCUUGGUUCUAUUUUGUUGGUUUUCGGAAUCCAAGGUAAUGAUCAAUAAGGACAGGCGGGGGCAUUCGUAUUGCGACGUCUUGGCAAAUGCUUUCGCNNNNNNNNNNNNNNNNNNUCGCAAGACGCACUAGAGCGAAAGCAUUUGCCAAGUAUGUCUUAAUUGAUCAAGAACGAAAGUUAGAGGUUCGAAGGCGAUCAGAUACCGCCCUAGUUCUAACCAUAAACGAUGCCAGCCAGCGAUCCGCCGACGUUCCUCCGAUGACUCGGCGGGGAGCUUUCCCCGGGAAACCAAAGCUUUUGGGUUCCGGGGGAAGUAUGGUUGCAAAGCUGAAACUUAAAGGAAUUGACGGAAGGGCACCACCAGGAGUGGAGCCUGCGGCUUAAUUUGACUCAACACGGGAAACCUCACCAGGCCCGGACAUUGGAAGGAUUGACAGAUCGAUAGCUCUUUCUCGAUUCAGUGGGUAGUGGUGCAUGGCCGUUCUUAGUUGGUGGACUGAUUUGUCUGGUUAAUUCCGAUAACGA